CUCGGGAAGAUCCCACUCCGAUGGAGACGUGUUCUAUCAUCAAAGCUCCAUUCUGAAGGGAGAAAGAGUACGGGGCUUCAAGAAACUUCGUCUGAGGGUAGAGACACGCGGCCACAUAGAAUCCUUCUGGAGCCCUCAAUCUGUUGCAGACAUGGAUUAGACAUUCAGUGACUUCAGUACUGCUAGAAAAAAUUACAAGAUGUCCAGUUAAAUUUGAAUUUCAGAUAAACGAUGAAUGAUGUUUUAGUCUGACAACUCUAGAUGCAUCCAAUCUAAGGGAAGAAGGAAGGGGAAGGACCCCCAGACACCAAAAUGCAGGUAAACAUUACAGCGUGCUCCAGCUCAGGAGAGUGGUGGUGGAGCGGGAGGGGAGUCCUGGGGCGCUGGCUCGCAGCAGUUUAAAAUUCCUUCCAGGCC
RNAcentral lists this long non-coding RNA (417 nucleotides) under Mustela putorius furo (domestic ferret). RNAcentral describes it as "lncRNA (ENSMPUG00000023933.1)". The record is from RNAcentral. Lineage: Eukaryota; Metazoa; Chordata; Mammalia; Carnivora; Mustelidae.